UCUCCGUUGGUGAACCAGCGGAGGGAUCAUUACCGAGUUUACAACUCCCAAACCCCUAUGUGAACGUUACCAAACUGUUGCCUCGGCGGGAAAUUCAUGCCCCGGGCGCGUCGCAGCCCCGGACCAAGGCGCCCGCCGGAGGACCAACCAAAACUCUUUUGUAUGUCCCUCGCGGACUUUUAUAAUUCUGAACCAUCUCGGCGCCCCUAGCGGGCGUUUCGAGAAUGAAUCAAAACUUUCAACAACGGAUCUCUUGGUUCUG
RNAcentral lists this unclassified non-coding RNA (262 nucleotides) under plant metagenome. RNAcentral's name for it is "partial contains small subunit ribosomal RNA, internal transcribed spacer 1, and 5.8S ribosomal RNA". The record is from RNAcentral.